GGUCUCGUAGCUCAGUUGGAUAGAGCACCAGAUUCCUAAUCUGGGGGUCACAGGUUCAAUUCCUGUCGAGGUCACCA
Molecule: transfer RNA, 77 nt
Filed under: Hyphomicrobiales bacterium
Lineage: Bacteria; Pseudomonadati; Pseudomonadota; Alphaproteobacteria; Hyphomicrobiales
Also listed under: 1 other name
Description: tRNA-Arg
Rfam family: tRNA
About the family: Transfer RNA (tRNA) molecules are approximately 80 nucleotides in length. Their secondary structure includes four short double-helical elements and three loops (D, anti-codon, and T loops).
Source: RNAcentral